AUACGUAGGAUGCAAGCGUUAUCCGGAUUUAUUGGGUUUAAAGGGUGCGUAGGCGGAUGAUUAAGCGUGAGGUGAAAUGCCACUGCUCAACAGUGGAACUGCCUCGCGAACUGGUUGUCUUGAAUGCUCCUGCCGUGGGAGGAAUGUGUGGUGUAGCGGUGAAAUGCAUAGAGAUCACACAGAACACCGAUUGCGAAGGCAGCUCACGAAGGGGUGAUUGACGCUGAGGCACGAAAGCGUGGGGAUCAAACAGGAUUAGAUACCCUGGUAGUCCACGCAGUAAACGAUGAUAACUAACCGCUGGGUCGUAGUGAUUCAGUGGCCAAGCGAAAGCGAUAAGUUAUCCACCUGGGGAGUACGACCGCAAGGUUGAAACUCAAAUGAAUUGGCGGGG
RNAcentral lists this ribosomal RNA (394 nucleotides) under uncultured bacterium. RNAcentral's name for it is "partial 16S ribosomal RNA". It matches the Rfam family "Bacterial small subunit ribosomal RNA", at positions 523 to 918 of the family's 1533-position model. The record is from RNAcentral.